Molecule: ribosomal RNA, 253 nt
Filed under: uncultured bacterium
Lineage: Bacteria
Description: partial 16S ribosomal RNA
Rfam family: Bacterial small subunit ribosomal RNA
Source: RNAcentral
UACGUAGGGUGCGAGCGUUAAUCGGAAUUACUGGGCGUAAAGCGUGCGCAGGCGGUUCGUUAAGUCAGCUGUGAAAGCCCCGGGCUUAACCUGGGAAUUGCGGUUGAAACUGGCGAACUAGAAUCUGGCAGAGGGGGGUGGAAUUCCACGUGUAGCAGUGAAAUGCGUAGAGAUGCGGAGGAACACCGAUGGCGAAGGCAGCCCCCUGGGCCAACACUGACGCUCAGGCACGAAAGCGUGGGGAGCAAACAGG